AGAGUUUGAUCCUGGCUCAGAACGAACGCUGGCGGCGUGGAUAAGACAUGCAAGUCGAACGGGAUAUCUUCUGUAGCAAUACAGGAGGUAUUCAGUGGCGCAAGGGUGCGUAACACGUGGGCAACCUGCCGGGAAGUGGGGGAUAGCUCGCCGAAAGGCGAAUUAAUACCGCAUGUGGUUAGGGAAGACAUCUUCCCGAUGCCAAAGCUGGGGCAACCUAGCGCUUCCUGAUGGGCCCGCGGCCUAUCAGCUUGUUGGUGAGGUAACGGCUCACCAAGGCUAUGACGGGUAGCUGGUCUGAGAGGACGACCAGCCUCACUGGAACUGAGACACGGUCCAGACACCUACGGGUGGCAGCAGUCGAGAAUUUUUCUCAAUGGGGGAAACCCUGAAGGAGCGACGCCGCGUGAAGGAUGAAGGUCUUCGGAUCGUAAACUUCUGUCAUUAGAGAACAAUGCGUACGGGAGUAACUGCCUGUGCGUUGAUAGUACCUGAAGAGGAAGAGACGGCUAACUCUGUGCCAGCAGCCGCGGUAAUACAGAGGUCUCAAGCGUUGUUCGGAUUCAUUGGGCGUAAAGGGUGCGUAGGUGGCGAAGUAAGUCGGGUGUGAAAUCUCGGGGCUUAACCCCGAAACUGCAUUCGAUACUGCUUUGCUCGAGGACUGGAGAGGAGAUUGGAAUUCAUGGUGUAGCAGUGAAAUGCGUAGAUAUCAUGAGGAAGACCAGUGGCGAAGGCGGAUCUCUGGACAGUUCCUGACACUGAGGCACGAAGGCCAGGGGAGCAAACGGGAUUAGAUACCCCAGUAGUCC
Molecule: ribosomal RNA, 809 nt
Filed under: uncultured bacterium
Lineage: Bacteria
Description: bacterial SSU rRNA
Rfam family: Bacterial small subunit ribosomal RNA
Source: RNAcentral